RNAcentral lists this ribosomal RNA (484 nucleotides) under uncultured bacterium. RNAcentral's name for it is "bacterial SSU rRNA". It matches the Rfam family "Bacterial small subunit ribosomal RNA", at positions 29 to 531 of the family's 1533-position model. The record is from RNAcentral.
AAUGAACGUUGGCGGCGUGGAUUAGGUAUGCAAGUCGAGCGCUCAUAGCAAUAUGGGAGCGGCGAACGGCGUAGUAAUGCAUCGGAACGUACCCUUCGGUCGGGGAUAGCCACGGGAAACUGUGGGUAAUACCCGAUGAUAUCUGCGGAUCAAAGGUGAGAUUCCGCCGGAGGAGCGGCUGAUGUGAUAUUAGCUUGAUGGUGGGGUAAUGGCCUACCAUGGCGAUGAUGUCUAGGGGGUGUGAGAGCAUGGCCCCCACGACCGGAACUGAGACACUGUCCGGACACCUACGGGUGGCUGCAGUCGAGAAUCUUCCGCAAUGGACGAAAGUCUGACGGAGCGACGCCGCGUGCGGGAUGAAGGCCCUUGGGUUGUAAACCGCUGUCAGAGGGGAUGAAAUCUCCGGGGGUACUCCCCCGGAGUUGACAGAGCCUCAAAGGAAGCACGGGCUAAGUACGUGCCAGCAGCCGCGGUAAAGUCUAGC